UCGCAACCUUAUGGUUCCUAGUUGGAUUCAUUUCCGCUGAGCCACAAUGGGAACUCCUAUGGUCUUGUUCUUAACAAAAUAAAUAUGUUAAACUUACCACUUUAGCUGCAUAGUCUCUUUGAUCCCUUGACUACUUUAAAGAUGUCACUUGACUUUUGUCUCCUAAAGUUGUAUUGCAUAUGGUCUAACAAGUUUUUCUAAAAAGAAAGAGACCAUUUUAACUCUACAGCAGACUCCAUGGUAAUUAUCAGCUCCCCAGGAUUAGUUGAGCAUUUAUAACAUGACUUUGACACUGUAACUUGACUUUACAAUUGAAGAGACUGCCAGGUUUGAGCAUAGGCUGUGCCUGUCACUUACCAACUAUGGGACAGUGGGCCAAGGACUUGCUUCCUCAGACCCCUCAUGAGGAAGUCCCUACUGCAUGAGUUUGUUUUGAAUGUUCAACUAGCUAAUAUUUGCAAAGGGUGCCCUGUAGGUGCCAUUAAGUUAAAAAAAAAAAAAAGAUAAAGAUUCUUUUUUAGCCUACAUCUUUAGAUGGGAGAGAAGCUUCUUUUAAGGCUCUAUGGUAAGAAUCCCAUUGAAGGUUUAAAGCUUUGGUUUUGAUUUCUCAUGCACGCAAAUGUAUUUCUAAAAGAAGAGACUAUUUCUCUAUACAUUAAUCAAGUUAAAACCACAGAUUGUUUAUAAAUGUUCAUGCUGAUUAAUUUGGUGUUACCAUUGCAAGUCCAAACUGGGAAACACAAAGAAGUGAAAGGCUGGCAUUUAUAAAGAUAUGCAAAUGAGACAAAUGGGUAGGCUGGAUAUGCAACUGUCUCCCUAAUGGUGAAAUUUUUAAUCUGUUUGGGAUUUUUUUUUUUUUUUUUUUGUAAAUUACAGUCUAAAUGAAGGAGUCAAAAAUAUAGCUUUGAAUUCGUGUGCAUAGGUAGCCUUACAUGAAGGAUGGCACACAUACUAGAUUGUGAAAUCUCAGGGAACGUGAGACAGCAGAGGCAAAGGGUCUCCUGCCCCUGGAAGUGUCUUCACAGGAUGGGAUUUCCUUUCUGAAAAGCAAUCCUCACAGUCCCCCGACUAUUAGAGAAGAAUUACAACUUUAAAAUCCACAGCUCUGCUGUUCAUUUGAAUUAUUUAAAUAAGCAAGGCUCUUCCUUCUUAAAUUAGGAUCAUAGUGAAAUAUGCUUUUUUGGGACUUCUGAGUAUUCUCAGUUAAUUUAGGUAGACUUGAACAGAAUGAAAAGCUAUAAAACACAAGCUUGUUUUUAAAGUUGGGUCUCUUCCCUCCUACUGUGGAGAAGGUUUUUUUCCUCCCCUUUAAUACACGGGCUUAUUUCCAUUUUUAUGAUAUUUAAUUUUUAUAUAUCAUGAUAAUUACUGUUUUGAUCAAUUGAACACCCCCCCAAACACACACACACACGCACAAAUACACACUAUUCGUAGGGAAUAUGAGAAGACAUCUGUUGUCAAAAAAAGAAAGAAAUAGUUCCAGUUUGUAAUGAUUAUGAAUUUUUCAUAGAUUUGAUUUAAUUGUCUAAUUCUAUUUGGAAAUUUUAAUUUAUGUGAUUAUUUCCCUACCCUCUUUUCAUUAACUACCAAAAAAUGAAUACAUAAAAAGUAGGUGUUUUGAACAAAACCAAGAGACUUGAUUUAACGAAGCCAAAGGCUUGAUUUAAAGAGUGUGAUAUGAUUUUCACCCUGGCUAGAUAUUAUUUAAGGUUUUCAUCUGAUCUGCUUUUUCCUUUUUAGCAGCAAGGCAAUGUAUUACCUCAAAAAUGACUGCUGGAUCUACUCAAAUAUUCGUUCUGUAAGGAAAUUGAAGAAUCAUCAUUUACUGAUCUGUUUGAUGAUUUUCCAAAAAGAUGAGAGCAAACACAUAGAAUAAUGGUUUAUUUUUGAUAAAAGUCUCCUCAAAGCCUUGCAACCUAACCAGAAAUGUUGGAUAAACCAAUAUGAGGUGUGAAAUUUUUAAAUGUAUUCUGUAGUAUCCUAGCUUGUAUUUUUGUGAUUCUUUAGUUCUAAGAUUGUUAGAUAUAAGCUUUACCCAUUUUAUAGAUGGCAAAAGUGAACAGCUUGUCCAGACAAAAUUCAGAAUCUCACUUGAACUCAGUCUGUUGUAUCACCCCUUGUUACUUGGUCUAGUCUGUCAAGUCAGUAAAGAAAUGUCACUUAAAAGAUAGGAGCGGCCAAUGUUGCAACCACAGGGCAACAGGAAAAAUUGAGAAAUGAAGAUUCAAGGGACAACCGUAUAGUAGCCAAGGUGAGGGCAGUAUGCUGGGGAAAGAGUAAGGUGAGAGAGAACAGGAAACCAUGCUGAAAUUACAUUUCUUCUCAUUCUCAAAUAUAGGACAGAGUUUACAGAUUUAAGGAUUUUUAAUAAUAUAACAUUCUUGGAAAAAGCCAGUGCCUAUUGUUCUUUGUAAAUCCUUCACCAUUUGUGUUGUGAUUGCACUGACAGUGGAAAAAACACAUCAGUGCCUUGUUAACAUGGAUGUGCCCUGUGUAAAUCCUGAACUCAAAUAACAAAGAGGAGGCCAUACCUUUUAGCUUUUAAGAAAGAAAAAAAAAAAAAAAACUUGCUUUCAGUGGUAAUUUUAACUUGUAUCUUAGGCUUUUAAAUGGAAAGAAAGGAAGGGUCGUGUUGUCAGAGAUAAUCUUAAUUACAAGUCAUUGCAGAAGGAAUUCAUUUGAUUGAAAAUGGUACCCAAAAAAGUUUCCACCCCAGGAAUUUCCAGACACUAACUUACUCAACCUUGUGUGAUCCUUGGGCCUCUACCGUUAUAACUGGUGAUGCCGUCUGCAUCCCCAACAACUUAUUUUCAGGUAGCCGUUGGCAGCUAGCUUCCUGAGGAGAGGCGCCUGUCCUCCUCUGCAGUGUGAACUGGCCACAUUUGAGUCUGACGGAGGACCCAAGCCCAGGAGAGCUCAAAGCUCCAGGGUCUAACCAGGGUCACUAGCAGAGCACACAGCUCAGGGAGUGCCUCCAGGCAGCCAUGUUUUUCUGAAUUUUUAGCCAAACAUUUCACCUUGCAAAGUGUGACAGGAUUGCUGUCACAAGUAGUUUGACAAGUUUAGGAACUUCUUUGUCAGUAUCCCUAGUAUCUUUUAACCUAGGACACAGCAAGUGAUAGACUGACUCAUCCAAAAGGAAGUAACCUCUCUGCCCCACUGAUUGCUUUCCCUUCCCCUAGCCUCUUUUCAGCAGGGAGGAAGGGCCUCAGGAUCUUUGCAGAGAAGAUCCGGGAUUUUCAAAGACACAGGCAGAAGCGGGUUGGGUGGGUGAGGCUGCGAUGGGAAGGAGGGGAGAGAGAAGGAGACCAUGAUAGAAACCGGACCUGAAAUAGGCUUAUAAAAUAAAUUGCCCUGAUGCGACAAUUCGUUAUCAUCGGUUUGCUUGUUAAUAAUCAGAGAUUUCCUUCAUUUAUCAAUCUGAGGCCUUAUUUAACCUCAGACUAGUGGCAAACAAAGUCAUGUGCUGAACAUGAAGAUUCCUGGUCAGGAGCCCACCCCCCCGGGGGUGGGGGGUUCACCAGGGGUAUUUGCCCUGUGUUUUCCAGGAAACGCUGAGGGUGAGUGUAUUUUAUUAGUCUUAAAUUCAUUUUAUAUUUCUUGCCUGCUAGCUUUCCGGUACGCCAAAGAAUUUGGAAAUAAUCAUUUAUUCAUACUAAUACAUCUUGUUUUUUUUUUAAUUAGAAAUAAAACUUUUGUGACUGAAUAUUGUAAGCUAUUUACUAUCAGUCUAUGAAACAGCAUUUUUUCAUUUGCUACACAAGUCUUUACAUAUACUUCAAGUAAUAGAUUACUCUCCCUUUGAAUUUUAGAACAUUUGAAAAAAAAAAAAAAAAGAAGAAGAAGCGGGAAAGCACUCAGCGUCACCACUAUAACAUAUGUGACUUUGGCCGAGAGUACCAGGGUGGGCCUCCCGUCCACCUGCCCACCACCACCAUUAUUUGAAACAGUAAACCUGAGACCGUUAAGUUUUAUGUCACCUGCCAGCCCUUGUGAUACCAAAGAGCCUAUCAACUGGAAUACACCAGCGGGCUUGGUGGAGUCAGCUAUUUAUAGCUCCAGGUGUUUUUAGAAGUAAGCAGAAGUUAACUGUCGAGUCCCAGUUGUACUUAUCUGAUCUUUCUGUGUUUUCUAGAAAGCCUCCAAGAGGUUCCCUAAGCCAAUCUGAAAUAGCUCUUAAAGGAACUGGAUUAGCAUUUGAAUUUUAAUACUUCUGCCCAAGUACUUUUUUGCAUAGGCUGUGAGUGAUCUGUGGAGCUGCCAAUUUUGCUUUAUUAAUUUUUAUUCCUCUUCUAUAUCCCUGAAAAAACAAAAGGGCACAAGUACAUCUUUUGAAAAACCUUCUGUGGUUUUGUCUCCUGAUUGCGAUCUGAUAAGGAGGAAACUGUCCCGAAUCUGACUUUCUUUUCCUCCAAACCUCUGAAUGGUGAAAGUCCAGUGCAUCUUUGUCUUGCUGAAGUCAAUUUAGAGAUCUAAUCACAAAUUUUAUACCUUGAUUUUUAAAGACAGUUCUCUUAGCCUGCAUUUUGACCUUAGCAGUUCUAUAUUGGAUAUAUCAUUAUCUAAUCCAAAGCAGAGCAUUCUAGAUGACUAUUUUGAGAAAAGAUUUUUAUUAUUUCCUGACUUUCUCUAUUGAUAAUAAUGAAAAUUUUUCUAACACUUCUCAUCUUUCUCUGCUUUGCUCUCUCGUGUGUUUAUUGCAAUACCGUUUAUUUUCUUCUACAAGCCUUGUUUUGUGCUCUCUUCCGGUCACAAAAUCAGUAGCAAAGAGAUGGUGCAGCAUUGUGGACUGCAGAAAAACUUGGGCUGUGAAGCGUGGCGCCUGGGAGCUGUAUUUAAUUCACAAAGUAGCCUUGAGCAAGUUACUUAAAUUCUUUGCGUUUCUUCAUCUGUGAGUUAGGAACAACAAAAAUGUACAUGAAAAUGAAAAAUAGAGAACUAUGGUCAUCAUCUCUCACCCGAGUGGGACAUUUGUUACAAGUAAUGAACCUUCAUUGAUAACAUCUCUAGAGGAAGCUGUACAUGUGUAGGGACCUCACUGAUGAGUUGAUUCCAGUUUAGCAAUUUUUCAGUAGGUAACAGUGUGUGAUGAUGUGAUACACAAUAUAACUAUGUGUGUGCUUGUCAAAGGAACUGGUUCUUUCACUCAUUCAUUCAUUCAACAAAUAUUUAUUGAGCACCUACAAUCAACCAAGCAUGGUGUUCAGCACUUAGGGGUAUAGCUACAGAUCUAAGAAACAAAAUCUCUAAUCUCAUAAAAUUUAGAAUCUUGUGAGCUUUCAUUUAGGUUAUUUAUUUCCCUUAAAAAUUUUAAGGCAUCAGCUUCUCAAGGUAGGAUCUCUUGCUCUGAAAUAGUGCUAUAUGUAUGUACCAUUCUUAAACUUCCCUCUGCCCUAUGUACUGUUUAGUCACAGAGAAUUGUUUUAUUAUGAUGAUUCUGGUAUGUUAAUGAAGAGGUACUCAUUUGCAAAUAACUCUUUAAUCUGUAAUUAAAAUCUGGCAGCUCUCUUAAAAAUAAAGACAGUUAAAAUGCAUAGUCACUGGCUUGCUGUAUUAAAUAUGCAAUUGCAAAACAUUAAGAAAGGCAUAUCCUAUUUAUCACUUUUAAUGAAUCUUUCACCCUAGCCCCACUGUAAGCCCUGGAUGGUAUUCCUACCAUCCCACCCAUAUGCUUCUAAGAGCAUUAACUGUUCAUGGAUCUGUGCACGCCCUGGUAUAAAAUCAAAAUCUCUAGGGUGCUUUUGAUCACAUAUAAGCAAGCUUUAAAAAAGAAAAAAAAAAAAAAAAAACCCAUUCUCAUUAAGGCGAUAGGCCCGUGACCAUAUCCUGAUGUUUGCUUAGCAAUCUGAAAUUCAUGUAUGCAAGAGGAAUUUUUUUUAUCCUUUUGAAAGAAGAAUGAUAAAUAUUUAUAUAGCCUUAACUCUUUCAGACAGUCACAGGAUCAUCUUUUAGGAAUGACAAGAAGCUGCUCAGGGGUUUUGUUGUUGUUAUUGUUGUUGUUUAGCAUAAUUCAACUUUCCAGUAGCUACUGAAAAGAUGAAUUGUAGAUGUAUCAUUAUUGGAAAGUAAUCCUCCUUUCUCCCCAUUAAGUGCACUUUGUCUUACUUCUCUGAAAUCCCUUUGAGUCAUGGCUUUGAAAAGGGAGCACCAGAGUUAUUUGCUUUGGGGGCCCACAGGCCCAGCAAGACAGCUGCCCUGGUUGGUCCUUAAGACUGGAGUCCUAAUUCCUCCUGCAGCUCUGUUCUGUUAGCAGUCUAGCAACAGUCUAUUUGCUGAAUAGUCCUGCACCCAUACAGUGUUCUUUCUGGAACUUAUUCCUGUUCUCAAUCAAUAAUUGGGUAGAACUCCAAGAUAGCUUUCUACUUAAAAUUAAAUUUUUCUCCUGACUCCUUGAAUCAAGAUAUCCAGUAGUAAUGUUGAACUCAUGAAUGUUUCAGCUCACAGAACUAUCUCCUGUAAAAAAAAAAAAAAAAAAAAAA
Non-coding RNA from Sus scrofa (pig), 6479 nucleotides. NCBI's taxonomy places the organism in Eukaryota, Metazoa, Chordata, Mammalia, Artiodactyla, Suidae. The record is from RefSeq and is a predicted model, not a curated record.